UGAUAACAUUUUUAUUUCAUAAGAUUUUCUGCAAAUUCUCAAUUCCAGCAAUAUUAUAACAACAAGCCUUACAAAGUAUUAUUUACUAGCGAUUGCAUUUGUCUAGAAUUUAUCAUCUUUUAGUACAAUAUAUUCAUCAAACAAUUACUGUACAUACGAUCGAAAUCAAUCUACAAAAUUGUAUUUCUCAUACACUAUAAUGCAAUCCAUUAUUAUACUUUCCGCAUUUCAAUCAAACUCUAUACAAAUUAUCAAUAUUUGAGAUCAUGAGUAAUACAUCACAGGUGAUAAUCGAAUUAAAAAAAAUUAUCAACUAAACAAUCUUCAUCUAUACAAAAAAGAAAACAAAAUUAUUAAUUGUUUUUGAUGUAUUUGAGAAUUUAUCAAAGUGUAAUCUUAGAAUAGAGGCUUGAAAACAUAAGAAAAGAGAUCGAGCAUAACCAGCCAUACUAUUUCAAAUCAAAUUGUCUGGAGACAGGAACAACGUAGAAUCAGGGAAAAACUCGUAAUUUUUGAAUAAUUUUCUACAACAAUUAUAGUACAGUUUCAAACAGAAAUGCUUUAUAGUAAUGUACAUGAUUUUCCUCUAAUCAAAAAACUAAUAAGAAUUACUAAAACAAAAUUGAUGAUUUCCAGAGAAACAAAUAUAAAUCUAGAAACCAAUAUUUGAUUGUACAAGAAAAUAUUGAUUACUUAUUUUUUGAAAAUGGGAGAACCAAACAAUAAUAGCAUAAGAAACCAAUGAUUAAUGAAAAGAAUAUAAUUGAAAAACUAGUAAAAUAUAUUAAUUGUAGAUCCAAAUUGAUUUUGAAACACCCACAAGUACUUUAUAUUUAUUACAUUACAUAUGAUGUUCCUAUUUAAUCUGAGUUCUAAAAAGACAAUAAUGAAUGACAAAAAAUAAUCUGAAUUCUAGAAAUUCAGAAAACAUAUUCAGCUUUCAAAAAACAAAGUCGAAUCUUAAUUUUUCAGCAAAAACUAAACCAACUUUCAAUAAUGAGAUAAAAUGGACUAAUUAUUAUCACCCCAAAGUAAGACACUUUUUAAACCAGUGUUAAAGCUACAAAACUUUAGAAAAAGUUGUCAGAAAUUCACCAAUUUCAGUGAAUUGGUGAUUGUUUACUUUUGGGUGAAAUGAAUAGUUAAAAUUAGAUUAUUUACAAACUGAUGAUGCAUAACAGAUAUGAAUAGUAUUUUGGUUUACACAGCGUUGAUUGGGUGGUUCGGAACACACCUAAAACCCACAAUAUAGCUGGGAUCUCCCCUUCAAUAAAAGCCAUACGAAUAUGUCUGUAUUGUACAAUAUUUUAUUUAAUGUAUUUUAUACUCCCGUAUAGUCAAUAAUCAAAAUUCUAUAUUACAUAUUCUUCAAGUAUGACAAAAUAUGAUCUAAAUUCUAGAAAUUCAGAAAACAUUCAGCUUUCAAAAAACAUACCACCUUUAAACUAGGUCAAAUCUUAAUUUUUGUUAUUUCUCUAUGUUAUAAUCUGUAUCUUUGUUAUUUCAAUGAAGCCUAUGUUCUAAGUCGAUGUACUGCGUCUAUUUUUGGGGUGAAAUUAAGAUGGAAUUUUACAAUAAAUUAGAUUUCAAUGGGGUUGCAUAGUGUUAAAUUAUUUACUUACAGUUUUGAAUGAAAAUCUCAAAUUAAUUUUGAAAAAGUGAAGUUCCUACAGUUAUCUUAAUUGACGGGGAGAUCCUUAUUGUUUAAUUUAUUUUAGGUGCGUUCCGAACUGAUGAGGGAUAUUUGAAUAAACUGGAAAUACUAUUCAUAUCUGUUGGUUAUGAAGCAUUACUAAACUGAAAUUUAGCAAACAAAACAUAGUUUGACAGUAGAUAGUUUAGUAAAACAUACUAAAUUAGAAGUACACUAAAAUUAUAUGAGUAAUGAAGUUAACUAACGAUGGAAGUAAUGGAAACAAAUCGGCCAGAUAUGGAAAACAAAAUUAUCUCGGCCAAACAAUCAGAACAUAAUCUAUUUAUGCAGAAUGUGACUUGAUUAUGACUUAUGAGAGCUCUGCAGUUAAUCCUGAAUUAAUUCGUCUACAAUUAAUUCAAAAAUUAAAUCGCCUUUGGUUGUAAUGAGAUUAAGUGUUGUUAAUAAAUUAGUAUCAUUAUUCUUUGGGUUAUUCCCAGGCCUAAGAGAUCAGAAAGUAUCAUAAAACAAUAAAAAAGGCAGUUACUGGAGAUCUUGGAAAUUAUUAUAAUAAACGCCAUCUUUAAGAAAUCAUCCAGUAGGCCAUACUAAGGAAAUGUUACUUCAUCCAAAAACAGUUACAAAAUUACACAAGAAUGUAAUUGUCAAGCAUUAUUCAUGUAUCAGAAACAUUUUUUUGUGUUUAACUAAGUAUUGUUCUUCAUCAAAUUCGAAUAAUAUUAAAUAUAAAUUGAUUUACUGGUGUUAAUUCUGCCAAAGAUAUAGAAAAAUGUUACGGAAGCAUAUCUCAAAAUUUUUGAAUUGAGCUGAUAUUAUGUUGGGUAAGUUAUUUCUUCUUAGAGAUAUUAUACUCAAGUUAUUUUCUCCUUAGAGAUAUUAUACUCAAGUUAUUUUCUCCUUAGAGAUAUAAUACUUAAGUUAUUUUCUCCUUAGAGAUAUUAUACUUAAGUUAUUUUCUCCUUAGAGAUAUUAUACUCAAGUUAUUUUCUCCUUAGAGAUAUUAUACUCAAGUUAUUUUCUCCUCAGAGAUAUUAUACUUAAGUUAUUUUCUCCUUAGAGAUAUUAUACUCAAGUUAUUUUCUCCUUAGAGAUAUUAUACUCAAGUUAUUUUCUCCUUAGAGAUAUUAUACUUAAGUUAUUUUCUCCUUAGAGAUAUUAUACUAUGUUUCAGCAACAUAACAAUAAUUGUGGUUAUAAGAUUGAUGCUUCAAAACAAGCGAAAAGUAUAUAGUAUUCUAAACAACACAAUACACUUCUAAGCAGAGAAAAUCUUGAAAAACAAGCAAAUUGCUUCUUGAUGUAAAAUUUUGAUUCAAUUCUAACAGAAAACAUUCACAUUCCAUCUGUUCAAAAAUACCAAAACAAAAUAAUCGAAACCAACAUGGAGAUCAAAGUGAAAAAUGUCGAUAAAUAUAUUAAUAUAUAAAUUUUCAUCUUUGUAGUAUAGGAGUAGUAGAACUAUACAAUAUAUAAACUCAAUUUAUCUUAAAAACUACAAACACCUAUGAAAUUUUUCUCUCUUAUUUACAAUAUUGAUUUUCGACUAAAUACAAAUGUAUCUACAAAUAAAUUAUUCAGCUAUUCUCGUCUGAACAAGAAAACACUUUUGUACACUAGUAAUUUAAAUUUAAAUUUAGGCUUUGAAACGUGAGAUCGUAGAGACAAUAUUAGUAUGAAUGCUAGACUAAAAUUAAUGUUAUUAGAAUUUAGAGGAAGGAGUAAUUAGAAUGGAGUUUAGAAAUUCUAGAAUUUUCCAUCAUACAGUAUAUAUUAAUACACCUGAAUCAGGGAUAAGUUGAUAGUAGAGUCCCAAUCUCUAAAAAUCCAAAAAAGGUACAAUCUCUUCAAAAAGCAGGUUCCAAAGAAGCAUCUUAACGAAGAUAUUCUCCCUUGA
This is a long non-coding RNA of Nilaparvata lugens (brown planthopper), 3548 nucleotides long. RefSeq lists it as uncharacterized. The record is from RefSeq and is a predicted model, not a curated record. The transcript has 2 exons. Lineage: Eukaryota; Metazoa; Arthropoda; Insecta; Hemiptera; Delphacidae.